This 427-nucleotide ribosomal RNA is filed under the name uncultured bacterium. Its description in RNAcentral is "partial 16S ribosomal RNA". It matches the Rfam family "Bacterial small subunit ribosomal RNA", at positions 354 to 796 of the family's 1533-position model. The record is from RNAcentral.
GUGAGGAAUUUUCCGCAAUGGGCGAAAGCCUGACGGAGCAAUGCCGCGUGAAGGAUGAAGGCCUAUGGGUUGUAAACUUCUUUUCUCAGAAAAGAAUUAUGACGGUAUCUGAGGAAUAAGCAUCGGCUAACUCUGUGCCAGCAGCCGCGGUAAGACAGAGGAUGCAAGCGUUAUCCGGAAUGAUUGGGCGUAAAGCGUCUGUAGGUUGUUUAAAAAGUAUUCUGUCAAAAGAUUAGGGCUUAACCCUAGAUAGGCAGAAUAAACUUUUAAGCUAGAGUUUGGUAGAGGCAGAGGGAAUUCCCGGUGGAGCGGUGAAAUGCGUAGAUAUCGGGAGGAACACCAAAGGCGAAGGCACUCUGCUGGGCCAAUACUAACACUGAGAGACGAAAGCGAGGGGAGCAAAUGGGAUUAGAUACCCGGGUAGUCC